AUACGGAGGGUCCGAGCGUUAUCCGGAAUCAUUGGGUUUAAAGGGUCCGUAGGCGGGAAUCUAAGUCAGUGGUGAAAUCUUGCAGCUCAACUGUAAAAUUGCCAUUGAUACUAGAUUUCUUGAAUUAGUGUGAAGUGGUUAGAAUGUGUAGUGUAGCGGUGAAAUGCAUAGAUAUUACACAGAAUACCAAUUGCGAAGGCAGAUAACUAACACUAUAUUGACGCUAAGGGACGAAAGCGUGGGGAGCGAACAGGAUUAGAAACCCGGGUAGUCC
This 274-nucleotide ribosomal RNA is filed under the name uncultured bacterium. RNAcentral's name for it is "partial 16S ribosomal RNA". It matches the Rfam family "Bacterial small subunit ribosomal RNA", at positions 523 to 796 of the family's 1533-position model. The record is from RNAcentral.